UGCUCGCUCCUCUUCUGUCAGC
This 22-nucleotide microRNA is filed under the name Citrus sinensis (sweet orange). RNAcentral describes it as "csi-miR156a-3p". Its record names the gene csi-miR156a-3p. Lineage: Eukaryota; Viridiplantae; Streptophyta; Magnoliopsida; Sapindales; Rutaceae. The record is from miRBase by way of RNAcentral.